RNAcentral lists this transfer RNA (77 nucleotides) under Sphaerodactylus townsendi. Its description in RNAcentral is "tRNA-Thr". It matches the Rfam family "tRNA". Rfam says of the family: Transfer RNA (tRNA) molecules are approximately 80 nucleotides in length. Lineage: Eukaryota; Metazoa; Chordata; Lepidosauria; Squamata; Sphaerodactylidae. The record is from RNAcentral.
GGAUAGGGAUUGUGGCUCAGAGGAAAAGCAUCUGCCUUGUAUGCAAAAGGUCCCGGGUUCAAUCCCCAGACUCUCCA